This 211-nucleotide ribosomal RNA is filed under the name uncultured bacterium. RNAcentral's name for it is "partial 16S ribosomal RNA". It matches the Rfam family "Bacterial small subunit ribosomal RNA", at positions 524 to 732 of the family's 1533-position model. The record is from RNAcentral.
UACGUAGGGAGCGAGCGUUGUCCGGAUUCAUUGGGCGUAAAGAGCUCGUAGGCGGCUUGAUUAGUCGGAUGUGAAACCUCCAGGCUCAACCUGGAGUCGCCAUCCGAUACUGUCAUGGCUAGAGUCCGGUGAGGGCCCAGCGGAAUUCCUGGUGUAGCGGUGAAAUGCGCAGAUAUCAGGAGGAACACCGGUGGCGAAGGCGGUGGGCUGG